Eupeodes corollae is the source of this 893-nucleotide long non-coding RNA. RefSeq lists it as uncharacterized. The transcript has 3 exons. The record is from RefSeq and is a predicted model, not a curated record. NCBI's taxonomy places the organism in Eukaryota, Metazoa, Arthropoda, Insecta, Diptera, Syrphidae.
CCCACUGCUGCCUCAAAUUCUGCUUUUCAACCAGACAACGUUGCCGACGACAGCGACGACUUUUUGCCAAAAAAAAAUAUACUGCCACUUUUUUGUCGAAUUCCUCCGACAACUCAUCCUGUUCUGAUUUCGUUUUUAGAAAGCAAGCAUCUUAGCGAGAGCGUGCCCCCCGAAUCUGAAGUGUGAGUGACAAUUAAAAAAAAAGUCUUUAAAUUAAAAAAAAAAAAACGAAUAAUUUCAAAUUAAAAUUAAUUUAAUUUAGAAAUAAAAUAAAUACAUUUCAAAGUGCGUUUUGUUUUUGGUUUGAUUUUUUGACAAUUCUCGUUUCGUUUUCUUCUUUUCUGUGUAAUUUUCAUUCGGUUCCUUAGAGUUUCAUUUUAAUUUCGUUUUUAUGUUGAUUUGCAUAUAAUUUGCCGUUAUUUUAUUUAUUUUCGUUUUCGUGUGUGUUUUUAAUUUUAUUUUUCUGAACUUUUUUGAGAAAGGGAAAUCCAAUAUUCAAUUCGGGUGCGUUUCGUUCGGGAAUAUUUCGGAUUUGUCAGUUUAGAUAAAGUGUUUAGACAACGCGCAUUAUAAUUUUAUUUGUAUUGUGCAACGAAAGUGAGAACUUAAUUAUUCAUCCUACGAAGUACUUUAUUCUAAAUAACGGUAAGAUAAAAAGAUAAUACAAUUGUCAACUUAAGUAAGUGCUAUCGAAGGAAGAAAUCAAAUUCAUAUCCCCCUUAAAAUUAUUCUCAAAUAAUAAUGCUGUGUAUUUUCCAUAAAAGAAAUCAAUAACCAAUUCAAAACACGAAAUUACCGAAAAACGGUAAGCCAAAAAGUAUAGAGAUACUUUUUAGAUACACAUAAAGAUCGUUAGAUUAUUAUUAUUAUAUCCAGAGAAUGCAUAAAUAUCU